RNAcentral lists this transfer RNA (76 nucleotides) under Chloroflexaceae bacterium. Its description in RNAcentral is "tRNA-Asp". It matches the Rfam family "tRNA". From Rfam's summary of the family: Transfer RNA (tRNA) molecules are approximately 80 nucleotides in length. Their secondary structure includes four short double-helical elements and three loops (D, anti-codon, and T loops). The record is from RNAcentral. Lineage: Bacteria; Bacillati; Chloroflexota; Chloroflexia; Chloroflexales; Chloroflexaceae.
GGACGCGUGGUGUAGUGGUUAACAUACAGCCCUGUCAAGGCUGGGAUCGCGGGUUCGAUCCCCGUCGCGUCCGCCA